Non-coding RNA from Trichonephila clavipes, 69 nucleotides. Lineage: Eukaryota; Metazoa; Arthropoda; Arachnida; Araneae; Nephilidae. The record is from the annotation of a GenBank genome assembly.
AUAUAGCAAAAUGGAUAACGCGUUGAACUACUACUUUGAAGGCCGUGGGUUCGAAUCCCGCUUGAGAUG